GGGCAGGACCAGUUAUAGAACUCCAACGUACAGCUCAGUGAGCAGUUGACGAAAUAACAGGUGUCUCCGUAUGUGCCGUUGUACACCUCCUCACCUGCGAAGGGAGACAGACCCACGAUCACACCGUCCAGAGGCAGGGCUAGCCGCUGGACCCUGCGGAGGUCCCCACAGAGGCCACCCAAGGGAAGCCGUGCCCUGGACACAGCCACCCUCGACGGCUGCCGCCUCCUGAGACGCUCCCACUGCGAUCUCAGCCCUGGCGCCUGACCCAUCGGUACAUGCCAGGGCCAGCCUCGGCCACCCGAGCACAGGAUGUGAACAGCCUGAGUACCUGCCCCACAGAGACAUCACACACCACCGUUUGUCCAAGCUGUCCAAUGGGAACAUCAGGAUACAUGGUGGCUCUGCAAGAGAUGUUAGCUGCCCAGCCUGGUCCACAGACGUCUCCAAUCAAUUCCAUAUCUCCACCUGAGACAUCGCACUGCACCUUCUGGCCUAGCUGCUCCAAGCUGAGGUGGGGAUCCUUGACCGACCUGCACUCGAUGUCCUCAGGGGCCCCGCAGACCCCAUCAAAUGUUUCUCGGUCGCCGCCGUCGCUGCCCCUGCUGGGGUGGUCCUCAUUGAUCCAGUCAGACCAGAGGCAGCACAGCUCUAGGGAAGCAAAACCAAGCUCUUGUCUUUCACACCUGGGGAGAGGCACCUCCAGGAAGCCACCAGGAUUCAGAGGACCCAGGGACCUCCAUGACCAUCCCCCAGCUGCAAUCUCUCUUUUCCCUGUCAUUGCCAAAAAACCAGAGUGCAGGGCCAGAGAGCUCAGGGCUGGACACCACUUCCAUCCUCAUUUUGCAACUGAAAACCUGAGCCCAAAGAGACGGGGCCACCCAGAGCCACACCUGGGUGUGAUGGACCCCUUCCUCAGCUAUUUUCAAUACUUUUUUUUCAAAGAAUCAAUAACAAGAGAGCUGCCCAUUCCAGUAAGGAAGUGUGACGGAAGGGGCUUUGUCUCCACUCUUAACCAGCAAUAUUGUCACCGACAGCCAAUCAGGUCUCACUUUAGCCCCUGGCCUCAGCAAACCAUGAAUGAAGUGGCCAAAAUACAUCCAUCUUUGGUCCGUAAGCAGAGGAGUCCAGCCCCGCCAGCCUCACAUCUGGGCCCUGAAGGAAGCAUCCUGCAGGUGAUUUUAUAAGACUUCGCUCCUCCCACCCUGCUUGUCAUCAUGAAUAUCAUCACCGUCACUUACUCGGAGUUGUUGAUAAAACUGCAAUAAAGCAGGAAGAAAAGAGGAUAUCA
Pan troglodytes (chimpanzee) is the source of this 1291-nucleotide long non-coding RNA. RefSeq lists it as uncharacterized. NCBI's taxonomy places the organism in Eukaryota, Metazoa, Chordata, Mammalia, Primates, Hominidae. The record is from RefSeq and is a predicted model, not a curated record. The transcript has 3 exons.